RNAcentral lists this ribosomal RNA (465 nucleotides) under Vreelandella stevensii. RNAcentral describes it as "partial 16S ribosomal RNA". It matches the Rfam family "Bacterial small subunit ribosomal RNA", at positions 338 to 795 of the family's 1533-position model. The record is from RNAcentral. Lineage: Bacteria; Pseudomonadati; Pseudomonadota; Gammaproteobacteria; Oceanospirillales; Halomonadaceae.
CCUACGGGAGGCAGCAGUGGGGAAUAUUGGACAAUGGGGGGAACCCUGAUCCAGCCAUGCCGCGUGUGUGAAGAAGGCCCUCGGGUUGUAAAGCACUUUCAGUGAGGAAGAACGCCUGGUGGUUAAUACCCAUCAGGAAAGACAUCACUCACAGAAGAAGCACCGGCUAACUCCGUGCCAGCAGCCGCGGUAAUACGGAGGGUGCGAGCGUUAAUCGGAAUUACUGGGCGUAAAGCGCGCGUAGGUGGCUUGAUAAGCCGGUUGUGAAAGCCCCGGGCUCAACCUGGGAACGGCAUCCGGAACUGUCAAGCUAGAGUGCAGGAGAGGAAUGUAGAAUUCCCGGUGUAGCGGUGAAAUGCGUAGAGAUCGGGAGGAAUACCAGUGGCGAAGGCGGCCUUCUGGACUGACACUGACACUGAGGUGCGAAAGCGUGGGUAGCAAACAGGAUUAGAUACCCUGGUAGUC